UCCUCUGGCUCGGAAAACUGAAGGACCAUUGAGGAAUAUGCGUUUUUCUGAUUAACGCUUUAAACAGUGAAGCAACAAUGUCUUCUGCUGAGAAAAUGAACUUUUUUUCUCUCUUUUCCUAGAACACCUGGCGGAACUAGGGCGCGUGAAUGUUGUAAACAUUUUUUUACACAUUCAGACCCAAGCAGGUAUCACUUUUUGUUUUUAAACAAGCGAGGAGGUGGAAACGUUAAUGACCAGUGCCAUCUCAAAUCCCCGGGUCUGAAUACUUCGUCUGUCACGACUGUCACUGGGAAUCCACAGGAGGUGAACUGAAUAAGAUUAGACUAUUUACCCCAUCAACCCUCCAUCAAAGAAGUGACUGAACUAAGUUUUUGGAUCAUCAUGUGGCACACUGGACUCUAAACCACAAGAGAUCCCGAGCACACACAGCUCCAAAUCAAGUCAACAGAAAUUGUGUGUGGUCUGCACUUAUUCAACACAAGUAUUAUUACACUGGCUAAAACACUUCUUUACGGUAUAAACUGUACAGACUUAAUGCUACUAGAAUCUCUCCUCUCUCCAAAAAGGCACUAGGAAAUUACACCCAAAGUAGCCAUUUAUUUGUAAUGUAAAGAGCCUCAAAAAGCUUUUCUAGGGAGUUAGAGAAAAAAAGUUAGAUUUAAAAAUAAAUAAGUGAACCAUACAAAAGACACUUACUGCAUUGUUCCCUUUAACAUACACAUAAUGUACUUCUGAAAUGUCUGUGGUGUUUUAGGAGCUUUAGAGUUUGCAAAUAUCACUUCAGGGCAUAAUCCAAGAGUUUUUACUCUAGAGAAAGUAGAUCCCCCACCUGUGGAAAUCUGUUUAUUUGCCAGAGACUUUGAAUCAGAAUUGAAAUGGGGAGAUGGAUCUUCCACCUGAAAGUUGCAUUAUCACUCCCAAACACUAUAUAACUGAAACUUAAUAAGCUACCAUGACUACGUUCUCUCUCUCUCUCUCUCUCUUCUUUUUUUUUUUUUUUUUUUUUUUUGUGAAGUGUGCCAGAUACAUAGGUUUUCAAUUUUUUAAAAAAUACAGGAAAUUAUAUUAAAAAUGGAUGCUUGCAAAGGUCAAAAGUAGAAACUGGAUAAUUAUAGUAGAGAAAUAUAUAAUGAAGGGCAAUAGAUUUAACAAAAGCAAGACAAAUAUGCCAAAAGGAAUUACAAAAUUAUUACCUUGGUUAGAUGAUAUUUUGAAUGAAUGAAAUAAAUAAUAUCAGCAUAAUCAAUUUCAGUGACCAAUGAUUACAUUAGACAGAUAAAACAGAAUCAUUCACUGAAGCAAUUGAGGCGGUAGAAUUGUUUUACUUACCACUAAUGUUCUCAUCCUUAAUCCAGGUCUCUAGUUUAAAUCGCACCAUUGUCAGUCAACUAUAUCCCCAUUUGAGUUCUGAUUUAUGCAUUAUGGGGAAAAAAACAACAGUCUGUUUAUAGCAAAGGUCAUUUGGGGAAUUGAAUGCAAGACUCAAAGCACUAGAGGACAGAAGUAAAAAGUUACAUUUACAUCAUCUUAUGAAGCUUGGAUUUUUUUUCCUCACUAUUUCUAAAGCCAUUUUUAAAUUUGCGAUGUUAGUACAUUUCAGAGUUUUGAACUUUCUAAAAGUCAAUAGAAAAGUUGUACGUUAAAUGUGAUUAUCUUGAAGUCUAGAUUAAUUUAUGGCUCUUCCUUCCCUACCCAACUGCCCCCAAUCCAAGAGUAGGUUUUUUAAAGUUCCUACAAUAUAUAUUCACAUAUAUUUGAGAAUUUUCAGCUUAUACUUUUUUAUACUUUGAAUCUCAUUUAAUAAGAAAAGGAGUUUUUAUGAUUUGGGAUUAUGUGUAACAUUCUGGGGCUACAACUAUGUCAAUCACUCCUAUGAAUCAGGAAGGUUACACCAGAAUUUAUGUAUUUGUAGCUGUCUUCAGGAUGAGACACUUUGUCCUUUGAUUUCAUCUUUCUUUGUAAUUCUUAUUCACUGCUUCCCUGUGGUCCAGUCUUCUACCUUUAGGUGAAUCCUUUGGAAGGAAACACUGUUCUUUUACAAUGAUGUAAGUUCUGUUUCUGAUGGACUUGUUCCAAAGUUCUAGUAAGAUACGCAAGAACAUGGUUUGGCCCUGAUGCCUGUUUCAGGAGGUCAGUGCAGUGUGCUACAAGAUAAAAUUCUGGACCAGGAACUGAGCUCAGAGUGUGAUACAGCAGCCAGAAGUCAGAGAUAGUUCCCUUUUCAGAAGUGCUGUCAAUGACAUUUCUUUGCUUAUGUGCUGACAUGAUGCAAUAAAUGUUUUUGAUAGUGAGGAUGAAUUGUUAUAGGACUUGUGCCAUUGGUGAAGUAUUUUCGGAGAGAGGAAAGAAUGAAUCUCUUUCCCUAUUCUGCCUUCUGAAGUGGAUACAUUAGCACACAUCAGCAACUGGUCUGAGGACAAAAUACACUCAAAGCGUUGACAACAUUUCUUAGGCCAUGUCUUCACUGUGUUUUAAGCUCAGGAUAAUAAAUAUGCAUGCGCUACCACACUGUAAGAAUCCAAUGGAUGCAAGGCAUUUUGGGACAGAUCUAACCAAAAAAUGUUAGUUUACAAAGAAUGUGAAUUUAUAGUGCAUUCUUGGUCUACACUAAAUCUGCACGUGAAAAAGUUUUAUCAUACCAAGAGUACUCUGUGUUUAAAGUAAAACUGUUGGGCUUUUAUCUUGGAAUACUUCAUAUUUAGUAGUCACCUAUAAAGAUAAGGGAAUGCUUGCCUUUUAGGAGCAAAGAUCUUUCUUAGACUCCAGUGCAGAACAGACCUUCUUUCCUUUUCCAACCUCCAAAUUUUACUCCAGCAGCAGCUGUCCUGGUUACUGUCUGCACUUCUGUUUGGCUGCUCCAGACCUUUGAACUUUAUGUAGGUUACAAAAUUUGCACUUGCAAACAGGGCACGAAGACUGAUUUGAAACAGCAGCUGGUGGCAGCAAUGUCUAUCUGUUUCCGUCGGUAUUUUGUACAUGUAUCUGAAAUGUUAUCUGUCUGCGUAUCAUAAAGCAUUGCAAAACCUGUGGUGGACGUGAUGUGGAGUUCCAAAGUAUAUACAUUUUGUAACAUACAUUAGACAAAGUUAUAAAAUGUUUGGGGAAAUGUUCACUCUUUGUAACCCCGAAAGUUUUCCCAUGUACCUAUACUCAGCUUGUCCAAAGCAGGUAGCGCACUAUUUUGGUUAACUUUGAUUGCAAAAUAUUUUCUUCAGAAAGACUUCUAAGGACAUUGGUUACCAGAUGACUAAUGCCAUAGCCUAGCAAUUAGAGUUUAAAUCCCACUAAUUUUAGGUUCUCCUAACCUCAGCCUGCCCUAAUUCAGCAAAAGGAGACUGUCCUGCAUUGAAACAUUACCAGGAUCCAGGGAAGCCAGAGGAUAACUUUAAGUAUUUUGUACAAACAUUCCCUAGCCUAUACUCUGGUCUCAAGAACUGGAUUCUUAAUUCAAAGAUGAUUUCAAUGUGAACAUCAAGCUCUUGAAAGAGCGAUAUUAAAAGAAAUUUGACAUUCUUGUGCACAGAAUACCUUGCCUUCAAAAAUGACUGUGAUUAACAUAAACUUUAGCUUACUAUGCCAUUUGCUUGCUCUGUUCUCUAAGAGAGAGUGAUUUAUAGACAGUCUUCAAACUGUCUUUAAAGUUUCUGUACUAUAAAAUGCACUUUGUUGUGUUGUAUAUUGUGAAACUUCAAAGAAGUCUCAGAGAAGAAAGUUGAAGCAUUCAGUUUUCUCAGGUAGUCCAGGAGUUAGUGUACACACAGCAAUUGUACUAAUAAAUUGAUUUAGAAAUCAGUCUUAUUUUAACUGGUGCCAUUUCUCUGUGAAAAUCCAGAAGAGAAAAUAUAGCCAUUAAAAAUUUAACACCAUUAAUUCAACUUGCAGUUGGCUUUUCUGCCUAUUUACUGAGUAUGGAACAAUUCUACACUAACUAUUUGUGAAAUGCUGGGUAUAACGGUCCAUUUUUUUCAAUGACUGAAGCAACAGCAAACUACAGAACCAUGGUCUGAGAGCAACUGGAGUAUUAAAGAUGCUAUUCAUAAAGAGAAAGAUACGUAGGAAACAGAGUCACACAGUUUUUGUAUUCCCUUAUUCUGUGGCUUACUCAUGUCACAGUAGCCCAGCAACCUAUAGAGCUCCACAUUUACCCUCUCUCUCUGCUCUAACUCAGCUGCUAUCAUGUGCUUGAAAUUGAGCACUGAUUUUAAACAUCCUCAAGUCUGACUGGUGAGCACAUAUUUUUUUCUGAUGUUUCAUUUAUGAUGUUCAUUUGGUGGGAUUUAAACAUAGUCUUGCUUUUACAGCUUGAAGGAAAAUAAAAGUGCAAGGCGAUUGUAUU
Dromaius novaehollandiae (emu) is the source of this 4339-nucleotide long non-coding RNA. RefSeq lists it as uncharacterized. The record is from RefSeq and is a predicted model, not a curated record. Lineage: Eukaryota; Metazoa; Chordata; Aves; Casuariiformes; Dromaiidae. The transcript has 3 exons.